This 323-nucleotide ribosomal RNA is filed under the name uncultured Pseudomonadota bacterium. RNAcentral's name for it is "bacterial SSU rRNA". It matches the Rfam family "Bacterial small subunit ribosomal RNA", at positions 30 to 351 of the family's 1533-position model. The record is from RNAcentral. Lineage: Bacteria; Pseudomonadati; Pseudomonadota.
AUUGAACGCUGGCGGCAUGCCUUACACAUGCAAGUCGAACGGCAGCACGGGAGCUUGCUCCUGGUGGCGAGUGGCGAACGGGUGAGUAAUGCAUCGGAACGUGCCCUGAAGUGGGGGAUAACGUAGCGAAAGUUACGCUAAUACCGCAUAUUCUGUGAGCAGGAAAGCAGGGGAUCUUCGGACCUUGCGCUUUUGGAGCGGCCGAUGUCGGAUUAGCUAGUUGGUGGGGUAAAGGCCCACCAAGGCAACGAUCCGUAGCGGGUCUGAGAGGAUGAUCCGCCACACUGGAACUGAGACACGGUCCAGACUCCUACGGGAGGCAG